Molecule: ribosomal RNA, 1945 nt
Filed under: human gut metagenome
Description: bacterial LSU rRNA
Rfam family: Bacterial large subunit ribosomal RNA
Source: RNAcentral
UUAAGCAAAAAAGAGCGCAGGGUGGAUGCCUUGGCACUAAGAGCCGAAGAAAGACGUGAUAAGCUGCGAAAAGCUGCGGGGAGAUGCAAAUAAUCCUUGAUCCGCAGAUGUCUGAAUGGGGAAACCCGGUACGAAGAACUCGUAUCAUCCAUACGCCAAUCCAUAACGUAUGGAGGGGAACCCGGUGAACUGAAACAUCUAAGUAGCCGGAGGAAGAGAAAGAAACAUCGAUUUUGUUAGUAGCGGCGAGCGAAAGCGAAAGAGGCCAAACCGGAGUGCGUGCACUCCGGGGUUCGGACCGCAUUUAAGAUUCAGUGAUUCUAGCAGAAAGGUUUGGGAAAGCCUGCCGGAGAGGGUGAAAGCCCCGUAAGCGAAAGGAGAGCUGACUGAGCGGGAUCCAGAGUACAUCGAGACACGAGAAACCUUGAUGGAAUGAGCGGGGACCACCCCGUAAGCCUAAAUACUACUUAGUGACCGAUAGCGCAUAGUACUGUGAAGGAAAGGUGAAAAGGACCCCGGGAGGGGAGUGAAAGAGAACCUGAAACCCUGUGUUUACAAGCUGUGGAAGUUCUUUAAAUGAACAACCGCGUACUUUUUGUAGAACGGUCCGGCGAGUUGCGGAUACUGGCAAGGUUAAGCACUUAAGGUGCGGAGCCGAAGGGAUACCAAGUCUUAACAGGGCGUUAAGUCAGUAUACGCAGACCCGAAACCGGGUGAUCUAUCCAUGUCCAGGUUGAAGUUGUCGUAAAAGACAAUGGAGGACCGAAGCCACAUCCGUUGAAAAGGGUGGGCAUGAGGUGUGGAUAGGGGAGAAAUUCCAAUCGAACCCGGAGAUAGCUGGUUCUCCUCGAAAUAGCUUUAGGGCUAGCCUCGAUUUAGUCUUAUGGAGGUAGAGCACUGAAUUUCCGCGGGGGCGUCAAAGCUUACCAAAGAAUAUCAAACUCCGAAUGCCAUGUAGAUGAUGAUCGGGAGUCAGACUGCACGAGAUAAGUUGGGCAGUCAAAAGGGAAAGAGCCCAGACCACCGGCUAAGGUCCCAAAGUGCGUGUUAAGUGGAAAAGGAUGUGGGAAUUCGAAGACAACUAGGAUGUUGGCUCAGAAGCAGCCAUACAUUCAAAGAGUGCGUAACAGCUCACUAGUCGAGAGUUCCUGCGCCGAAAAUGUCCGGGGCUGAAACACGACACCGAAGCCGUGGACUCGCAAUGCGAGUGGUAGAGGAGCAUUCUUAAAACCGACGAAGCUGUACCGAAAGGAGCAGUGGAGGGAUAAGAAGAGAGAAUGCCGGAAUGAGUAGCGAGAGAAAGGUGGGAAUCCUUUCGGCCGAAUAUCUAAGGUUUCCAGAGUAAAGCUGAUCUGCUCUGGGUAAGUCGGGGCCUAAGCACAGGUCGCAAGACGUAAGCGAUGGAUAACAGGUUUAGAUUCCUGUACCACGCAUUAUCAGAACUGUAGGGACGCAUGUGGAAAGCACGAGCCGGGAAUGGAAAGACCGGUACAAGCGGGGUAGGUGUACAAUAGGCAAAUCCGUUGUAUAAUCCGAAGACGUGAUGUGGAGCGAAAUAAAGUAGUGAAGCGUGUGAGCCAUGUGCCGAGAAAAGCUGCUAUUGUGUAAUGCGUGCCCGUACCGUAAACCGACACAGGUGGAUGAGGAGAGAAUCCUAAGGCCGACGGAAGAAGCAUUGUUAAGGAAUUCGGCAAAAUGACCCCGUAACUUCGGGAGAAGGGGUGCCUGCGAGAGCAGGCCGCAGAGAAUAGGCUCAAGCAACUGUUUAGCAAAAACACAGGUCUAUGCGAAACCGAAAGGUGAAGUAUAUGGGCUGACGCCUGCCCGGUGCUGGAAGGUUAAGAGGAGAGGUUAGCGUAAGCGAAGCUUUGAAUUUAAGCCCCAGUAAACGGCGGCCGUAACUAUAACGGUCCUAAGGUAGCGAAAUUCCUUGUCGGGUAAGUUC